CGGAGCAUGCGGAUUAAUUCGAUGCAACGCGAAGAACUUACCAAGGCUUGACAUACACCGGUAACGCCCAGAGAUGGGUGCCCCUUUGUGGUCGGUGGACAGGUGGUGCAUGGUUGUCGUCAGCUCGUGUCGUGAGAUGUUGGGUUAAGUCCCGCAACGAGCGCAACCCUCGUCCUAUGUUGCCAGCGGGUCAUGCCGGGGACUCAUGGGAGACUGCCGGGGUCAACUCGGAGGAAGGUGGGGAUGACGUCAAAUCAUCAUGCCCCUUAUGUCUUGGGCUUCACGCAUGCUACAAUGGCCGGUACAAAGGGCUGCGAUACCGCGAGGUGGAGCGAAUCCCAGAAAGCCGGUCUCAGUUCGGAUUGGGGUCUGCAACUCGACCCCAUGAAGUCGGAGUCGCUAGUAAUCGCAGAUCAGCAACGCUGCGGUGAAUACGUUCCCGGGCCUU
This 448-nucleotide ribosomal RNA is filed under the name uncultured Cellulomonas sp. Its description in RNAcentral is "bacterial SSU rRNA". It matches the Rfam family "Bacterial small subunit ribosomal RNA", at positions 933 to 1382 of the family's 1533-position model. The record is from RNAcentral. Lineage: Bacteria; Bacillati; Actinomycetota; Actinomycetes; Micrococcales; Cellulomonadaceae.